CCUACGGGGGGCAGCAGUGAGGAAUAUUGGUCAAUGGUCGGGAGACUGAACCAGCCAAGCCGCGUGAGGGAGGAAGGUACAGAGUAUCGUAAACCUCUUUUGUCAGGGAACAAAGACUGGGACGCGUCCCCGGAUGAGUGUACCUGAAGAAAAAGCAUCGGCUAACUCCGUGCCAGCAGCCGCGGUAAUACGGAGGAUGCGAGCGUUAUCCGGAUUUAUUGGGUUUAAAGGGUGCGCAGGCGGUCUGUUAAGUCAGCGGUCAAAGCCCGGGGCUCAACCCCGGCCCGCCGUUGAAACUGGCAGUCUCGAGUUGGAGAGAAGUAUGCGGAAUGCGCGGUGUAGCGGUGAAAUGCAUAGAUAUCACGCAGAACCCCGAUUGCGAAGGCAGCAUACCGGCGCCCUACUGACGCUGAGGCACGAAAGUGCGGGUAUCGAACAGGAUUAGAUACCCGUGUAGUC
Molecule: ribosomal RNA, 459 nt
Filed under: uncultured bacterium
Lineage: Bacteria
Description: partial 16S ribosomal RNA
Rfam family: Bacterial small subunit ribosomal RNA
Source: RNAcentral